RNAcentral lists this ribosomal RNA (407 nucleotides) under uncultured bacterium. RNAcentral describes it as "partial 16S ribosomal RNA". It matches the Rfam family "Bacterial small subunit ribosomal RNA", at positions 30 to 526 of the family's 1533-position model. The record is from RNAcentral.
AUUGAACGCUGGCGGCAGGCCUAACACAUGCAAGUCGAGCGGAGCGGCGGAAGGGUGAGUAUUGCCUAGGAAUCUGACUGGUCGUGGGGGAUAACGACAGGAAAUGGGCGCUGAUACCGCAUCCUCUCAGAUUCGCCUAGGCCGGAUUAGCUAGUUCGUGGAGUAAAGGACUCCCAAGGCGAAGAUCCGUACCUGGUCUGAGAGGAUGAUAAGUCACACUGGAACGGAGACACGGUCCAGACGUCUACGUGAGGCAGAAGUGGGGAAUAUUGGACAAGGGGCGAAAGCCUGAUCCAGCCAUGCCGCGUGUAGGAAGAAGGUCUUCGGAUUGUAAAGCCCUUGAAGUUGGGAGGCGUUACUACCAGAAUAAGCACCGGCUAACUUCGUGCCAGUAGCCGCGGUAAUAC